UGGGCGGACCAUCCUCCAAGGCUAAAUACUACUGACUGACCGAUAGUGAACCAGUACCGUGAGGGAAAGGCGAAAAGAACCCCGGAGAGGGGAGUGAAAUAGAACCUGAAACCGUAUGCGUACAAGCAGUGGGAGCCUACUUUGUUAGGUGACUGCGUACCUUUUGUAUAAUGGGUCAGCGACUUAUAUUCAGUGGCGAGCUUAACCGAAUAGGGGAGGCGUAGCGAAAGCGAGUCUUAAUAGGGCGUUUAGUCGCUGGGUAUAGACCCGAAACCGGGCG
This 280-nucleotide ribosomal RNA is filed under the name Enterococcus faecium. RNAcentral's name for it is "partial 23S ribosomal RNA". It matches the Rfam family "Bacterial large subunit ribosomal RNA", at positions 445 to 727 of the family's 2925-position model. Lineage: Bacteria; Bacillati; Bacillota; Bacilli; Lactobacillales; Enterococcaceae. The record is from RNAcentral.